This 2327-nucleotide long non-coding RNA is filed under the name Melopsittacus undulatus (budgerigar). Its description in RNAcentral is "lncRNA (ENSMUNG00000020919.1)". Lineage: Eukaryota; Metazoa; Chordata; Aves; Psittaciformes; Psittaculidae. The record is from RNAcentral.
AAGGGGGCAGGAAGAGACGAAGAGUUUCAAGGGAAUGAGAAGAGUGUGAAAGGAAAGAGGAAUGUUGAAAGAGAAGAGUGCCAAAAGAAUGAGCAUAUUGUCAAAGUAAUGAUAAGUGUAAAGAAGAAGAAGAGUGUCAAAGGAAAGAGUUUCAAAGAAAUGAGACAAGUGUCAAAGGAAAGACAUGAGUGUGGAAGAUAGAGAUUAGUGUCAAAGAAAAGAGAAGAGUGUGAAAAGAAAGUGUGAAAGGAAGAAGAGUGUGAAAAAAAGAGGAGAAUCUAAAAGGAAAGAAGAAUCUGAAAGGAAAGAGAAGAGUGUGAAAGGAAAGAGAAGUAUGUCAAAGGAAAGAGAAUACUAACAGAUAUGAGAGGAGUAAAGGUAAGUAAAUUGGGGUAGAGAAAUGUGAAAAGGGGCAGAAGAAUGUGAAUUGACUAAGAAGAGUGUUAGAGGAAUGAGCAGAUUGUCAAAGGAAUGAUCAGAGUGUCAAAGGAAUGAUCAGAGUCUCAAAGUGAUAAGACUCUCAAAGGAAAGACAAAAGUGUGAUUGAUAGAGUGUCAAAGAAAAGAGCUAGAACAGAAAGAAAAUCUGAAAGGAAACAGAAGAGUGUGAAAGGAAAAGUGUCAAAGGAAGGGGAAGAGUGUGAAAGGAAAAAGAAGAGUUUCAAAGGAAUGAGACGGUGUGAAGGAUAGAGAAGAGUGUCAAAGGAAAGAGAAGAGUUUCAAAGGAAUGAGAGGAGUGUGAAGGAUAGAGAAGAGUGUCAAAGGAAAGAGAGGAGUGUCAAAGAAAAGAGUGUGAAAAGAAAGAAGAAUCUUAAAGGCGGGGAAGAAUCUGAAAGAGUGUCAAAUAAGGGAGAGGAGUGUCAAAGGAAAGAGUGUGAAAAGAAAGAAGAAUCUUAAAGGAAAGAGUGCCAAAGGAAAGAGAAGAAUAUCAAAGGAAAGAGAAUAGUGUCAGAUAUGAGAGGAGUACAGGUAAGUAAAUUGGGGUAGAGAAAUGUGAAAAGGGGCAGAAGAAUGUGAAUUGACUAAGAAGAGUGUUAGAGGAAUGAGCAGAUUGUCAAAGGAAUGAUCAGAGUGUCAAAGUGAUAAGACUCUCAAAGGAAAGACAAAAGUGUGAUUGAUAGAGAAGAGUGUCAAAGAAAAGAGCUAGAACAGAAAGAAAAUCUGAAAGGAAACAGAAGAGUGUGAAAGGAAAAGUGUCAAAGGAAGGGGAAGAAUGUCAAAGGAAAAAGAAGAGUUUCAAAGGAAAAAGAAGAGUUUCAAAGGAAUGAGACGAGUGUGAAGGAUAGAGAAGAGUGUCAAAGAAAAGAGUGUGAAAAGAAAGAAGAAUCUGAAAGGAAGGAGAAGAAUCUGAAAGGAAAGAGUGUCAAAUGAAGGAGAGGAGUGGCAAUGAAAAGAGAAGAGUGUGAAAAGAAAGAAGAAUCUUAAAGGAAAGUGCCAAAGGAAAGAGAAGAAUAUCAAAGGAAAGAGAAUAGUGUCAGAUAUGAGAGGAGUACAGGUAAGUAAAUUGGGGUAGAGAAAUGUGAAAAGGGGCAGAAGAAUGUGAACUGAUUAAGAAGAGUGUAAGAGGAAUGAGCAGAUUGUCAAAGGAAUGAACAGAGUGUCAAAGAAUGAUCAGAGUCUCAAAGUGAUAAGACUCUCAAAGGAAAGAUAAAAGUGUGAAUGACAGAGAAGAGUGUCAAAGAAAAGAGCGUGAACAGAAAGAAAAUCUGAAAGGAAACAGAAGAGUGAAAGGAAAAGUGUCAAAGGAAAGAGAAGAGUGUCAAAGGAAGGGGAAGAUUGUCAAAGGAAAAAGAAGAGUUUCAAAGGAAUGAGACGAGUGUGAAGGAUAGAGAAGUGUCAAAGGAAAGAGAGGAGUGUCAAAGAAAAGAGUGUGAAAAGAAAGAAGAAUCUGAAAGGAAGGAGAAGAAUCUGAAAGGAAAGAGUGUCAACUGAAGGAGAGGAGUGGCAAUGAAAAGAGAAGAGUGUGAAAACAAAGAAGAAUCUUAAAGGGAAGAAUCUGAAAGAGUGUCAAAGGAAAGAGAAUAGUGUCAGAUAUGAGAGGAGUACAGGUAAGUAAAUUGGGGUAGAGAAAUGUGAAAAGGGGCAGAAGAAUGUGAAUUGACUAAGAAGAGUGUUAGAGGAAUGAGCAGAUUGUCAAAGGAAUGAUCAGAGUGUCAAAGGAAUGAUCAGAGUCUCAAAGUGAUAAGACUCUCAAAGGAAAGAUAAAAGUGUGAAUGAUAGAGAAGAGUGUCAAAGAAAAGAGCGUGAACAGAAAGAAAAUCUGAAAGGAAACAGAAGAGUGUGAAAGGAAAAGUGUCAAAGGAAGGGGAAGAGUGUCAAAGGAAAAAG